CCCUUAGAUGUUCUGGGCUGCACGCGCGCUACACUGAUGCAUCCAACAAGUUUUCUCCCUUGUUCGGUAGGACUGGGUAAUCUUUUGAGUAUGCAUCGUGAUGGGGAUAGAUUAUUGCAAUUAUUAAUCUUCAACGAGGAAUUCCUAGUAAGCGCGAGUCAUCAGCUCGCGCUGAUUACGUCCCUGCCCUUUGUACACACCGCCCGUCGCUACGACCGACUGUUUCUGUCAAUGAAGCUGUAGGAUUUGGUCCUGGCCGGGCUUCACGGCCUGGCUGCGGCACUGGAGAUCACAGUUUAGUUGAUACGAAAUACAGGACGUAAAAGUCGUAACA
This 334-nucleotide ribosomal RNA is filed under the name uncultured eukaryote. Its description in RNAcentral is "partial 18S ribosomal RNA". It matches the Rfam family "Eukaryotic small subunit ribosomal RNA", at positions 1470 to 1796 of the family's 1831-position model. The record is from RNAcentral.